GUCUUUUGGUUUGGGGUUGCUCUACUAGCUAGUUGUGUCUGCAGGCAGUCCUCGGUUGCCCAGGAAACACAGAUGGUGGAUGAAGGGCGUGCAUACAAAAGACCAUAAACCUGUGGCAGCAGCUGGAGACCGAGACCACUGAUUAAUUCAGGUCUGUGCAGUCCCUCUUAUUCAAAGACGUCUCUGUUCUCUUUAAUACCUCCCAUCCAUUUUCUUUGUCCCGGGGCUUCCGUCUCCACUUUAUCCUGUUUUCCCUGGACUGGUCUCCCGUCAGUGCGCAGCUGUUGUUGGCACUCCCACAUCUGCUUGUCUCGGCUCGGCAGCCAUGUAGACGACGCUCAGCCGCGGCUCGUGUAAGUGCGUAUAGCGCGUGGGUCCAGGGGGCGACCAGCCUUCUACUGCGGGGCUGAUCACAGGACACACAAGGCAUGCAUUUGCAAGUUCGGCAGCGCCUUCAGCAUGGAAGACAAAGAAGAAAAAAGAAGAAGAUCUUUUCACGUCGCCCGAUGCUGCGGGUCACGUGCACGGUGGAACCUGGAGAUCACUGGUAACCUUGUGGCCGGUGUUACUGGAUUCAUCUACAGAGCUGCUGACAUGUCACCAGUCAGGACACUGGGAGGGUCCAAAUGAGAACCAACAGCAGGACAGGUUAUGUGUACAAGCUGCAUUAUAUUUAUAAAAACCCCCACAUAGGAGGAUCGUUUUUAAUGGCACACAAUAUCAGAUGUAGAAUGUAGUAGCAUUAGUCAGCCAGUCAGAUCAUUUAUACUGUAGCUUAUAUCUGUUGGCAGUUCUCAUUUAUCUUAAUAAAAAGCAGUAAGGAGAAGCAAUAAAAAAAAAGAACAUGUACUCCCUUGGGUUUCUUGAGAGGACAGUUGGGUUGCGUCCCACUUUUCUGCUGCUUUGUGUUGUGUAUUCCUCUCCAGUUACACUGAUGAAGGAGCAGACCGGAUCUCGCUCUGGACCUCACGAGCGGCAUGGCUCCAUCUCCCUCUGCUGUGCUGCCUCGCAGACUGCAGUGAUCGAUGCACGGUGCCAUCGCUGAUGUCCAGACCCUCAGAAGGAGAGGAUCCAUGUCCAAGUGUUUUCCCACUGAGAGACGACUUCUGCUUUAGUGGGGCUUUGAAGAGUUCAAAAUGCUACUGCUGCUUUGUAGACAGUGUCAAUGUGUUCAGAUUUAACAGGACAACAUUUAACGGCUGGUGUUUUGAGUCCAAAAUAAUUUUCUGCAGCGUUCCUUCCUGUUUCAAAUGUGCAAAUGUUUCCGGCUGUCAGUAAUACUAAUAAUGCUUCAUCCACGCCCACGAUCAUGAGUUUUUUGGCUGAUCAAAAACACAGACACCGCAGCCAUCAAACACCUCUCACGCUUGUUUUCCUCAGCUGCGUGUGCAUUGACGUCUUCAAUCCAUUACCUGGGAUACUCUGUCAAACACGUACUUUUAAUUUACUUUAAAUUCUCCAGAAACUGUGUUUUAACAUGUGUUAACUUCUCACCAAAGCUAAAAUGUUUCAGUGCCAGAUCCAGAACUGGAAAGCUUUGUUAUUUUAAGCUUGUAACAUAAAAAAAAACAAAAAUCUGCUCAAGUGAGUGAGAAUGACUAGUUUUCUCACAUUUUGACAAUGUGUAAUUCACACAGUAUGUUCUUUGUUUGUCUUAAAACUUCUUAAUUUGGGUGUUAUACCAACUACUUUUAUGGUUCUACAGUGUGUAUUUUUACUCUAGCGUGUGGGCAGGUGUGUGUCAGCGUGAGUGCAUGUGUUUGUGUGCAUGUGCUCUAUGUGUGUGUGUGUGUGUGUGUUUGUUCCUGUAUGUGUGCAUGUGUCUGUAUGAUAAAACACUUUUGUAAUUGGCCUGAAGCUACUAGCUGCUUUUCAAUGGAUUUCUCUUCGCUGCACAGAUUUAAAAUGCCUGAAUCUCUCUUCUUUUAACACAUUGAAUGUACCAGACAAAGGAUUCAAAAAUAUUUACAAAUGAUUCUUAGCAUUUGUUCAGACCUCAUUGAAGUACCAGUUAGGUGGGGGUUCUUGUGAUCUAGAUAAUCACAAGAAUGAUGCUGGAAAUGAAUGGUCUGUAGUUUUCUGAAUGAUGCCUGCUAGCAUUAAUUAAACUGUCCCGAUGCCUACUGCCCCAUCAUCUGAUACUUCAGCAAAUUACAGCAAAUGCUAAUAAUUAUGUGCAAAUAGCUUUUUACCCAGGUCUGGAUUCUACUAACAAUAUUUGACUAAUAUCUAACAAUACUAAUGUCUGCUAACAGUCGGAUGAUUACUAACCUGUACUCUGAUGAAUGCUGAUGGCUGGCUUUGAUCUUUCUAACCCACUGACUAACCCUCUGCUUUAUGCCCGCAGUCCGAUGCACACACUCCUCUCUCAUGAUCCUGCAAUCCUUCUUCUAGAACUCACAGACUAAGAGGAAUUAGUAAAGCAGAAAAUCAAUGAAAACUGUUAAAGUGAGCAAGUCAGGAAGGGUUUCAGGACUUGGGAAGGGAAAUAUUAUUAACCAGUAGAUGGAAAGAGGAGGAGAAUCAGCUGCUGAUAUCAAACUGGGUUGACCACAUACUUAAGAAUACUCACGAAACCGAUUGUGAUCUGAUCAAAAAAAUAAUAUCACGUCACAGUGUCGCACCUCACAGGCUAAAUUCACAUCUUCAGAGACCGUCUUCUCUACCUGUGUGGUCAACCCUUGCAGAUGAGUGCCUGGCUUGUUGUCACCACAGGCCAAGCAAAUCUCAACUCCAAUACUAACUUAUUAUGGUAUUAAUACUAACAGUGGUGAGGCUCUAAAGACCCACCUGUUGCUCUUACUAACAUCUGGGUUCCUUCUGACUAAAACAUCCCGAUGUCUGUAAUGAAAUUAUUCCGUCUCUUUGUUCUUCUUUAAUUAAAUCAAAGCAUGCCUUGUGGCACUAGUGAUGCUUAUUAAAUUACAGUACAUGGAAGCUUUUAUCCAAAACAUCUUCUAGUGCCAUGAGUUUGUAUGCGUUUUAGCAGUGGGAACUAAGUCCUAGCUCUAACUGUGUCAAUGACAUGCUCAUCAGAAAUCCUUAUAAACAAGCUACUAACAUCUCCUAAAGUCAAAUUAUCAGGUACUAACCAAAAAUACAUUUUAUUAGCUCUCUGCAAACUAACAAACUAACCCACUAAUAAACUAAUAAUCUAACAAAAACUAACUAAAAUCACUAACUUUGUGCUGAGUGGCAGAAUUUGUGAAGCACCCUGUUUUGAGGAGUUGCAUCACUUAUUGAAUGUACUAACAGAAUUUAGUUUUUUAAGAAUGACGUAUUGAUGUGCCUGUCUGUCUAUGUGUGUGAAAGAAAGAGCACAACAGUGUGUGUGUGUGUGUGUGUGUGUGUGUGUUUAUUCUCUCAAACAAUGUAUUUAACAUAUAAAUGCAGAUUAUAUUUAUAGAGCAGUUUUAGCCAAAUGCAUCCACAGGUACUGACUACUCUGGUAGUACAACUGAGCACCAGGAUAUACUCCUUAAACCUUUCAAACAAUACACUUUGUGAAGUAGCAUGGAUGUAAAUACAAAUAACUUCAAUGUACACAACUCGUUUUGUACUAUAUUGCUAAUUUAUCAGUUGUCCUUUUACAUGCUUUUGUAAUAAACAAUUUUCACAUUUAUAUAUA
This is a long non-coding RNA of Anarrhichthys ocellatus (wolf-eel), 3628 nucleotides long. RefSeq lists it as uncharacterized. The record is from RefSeq and is a predicted model, not a curated record. Lineage: Eukaryota; Metazoa; Chordata; Actinopteri; Perciformes; Anarhichadidae. The transcript is spliced from 3 exons.